This 253-nucleotide ribosomal RNA is filed under the name uncultured bacterium. Its description in RNAcentral is "partial 16S ribosomal RNA". It matches the Rfam family "Archaeal small subunit ribosomal RNA", at positions 474 to 727 of the family's 1478-position model. The record is from RNAcentral.
UACCAGCACCCCGAGUGGUCGGGACGAUUAUUGGGCCUAAAGCAUCCGUAGCCGGUUCUACAAGUCCUCCGUUAAAUCCAGCUGCUUAACAGAUGGGCUGCGGAGGAUACUAUAAGACUAGGAGGCAGGAGAGGCAAGCGGUACUCAGUGGGUAGGGGUAAAAUCCGUUGAUCCAUUGAAGACCACCAGUGGCGAAGGCGGCUUGCCAGAAUGCGCUCGACGGUGAGGGAUGAAAGCUGGGGGAGCAAACCGG